RNAcentral lists this ribosomal RNA (833 nucleotides) under uncultured archaeon. RNAcentral describes it as "bacterial SSU rRNA". It matches the Rfam family "Archaeal small subunit ribosomal RNA", at positions 85 to 922 of the family's 1478-position model. The record is from RNAcentral.
ACUGCUCAGUAACACGUGGACAAUUUACCCUUGGGACCAGGAUAACCCCUGGGGAAACUGGGGCUAAUACUGGAUAGAGCAUCGGCUGCUGGAAUGCGCGAUGUUCGAAAGCUGAGGCGCCCAAGGAUAGGUCUGCGGCUGAUUAGGUUGUUGUUGAUGUAACGGAUCAACAAGCCCACGAUCGGUACGGGUUGUGAGAGCAAUAGCCCGGAGAUGGGUUCUGAGAGAAGAACCCAGGUCCUACGGGACGCAUCAGGCGCGAAAACUUUACAAUGUGCGAAAGCGCGAUAAGGGAACUCUGAGUGCCUCCUAAGGAGGCUGUUCAGGUGUCUAAAAAGCAUCUGGAGUAAGGGCUGGGCAAGACCGGUGCCAGCCGCCGCGGUAACACCGGCAGCUCAAGUGGUAGCCAUGUUUAUUGGGUCUAAAGCGUCCGUAGCCGGCUGAGUAAGUUCCUUGGGAAAUUUGACCGCUUAACGGUUAAGCUAUCAGGGAAUACUGCUUGGCUUGGGACCGGGAGAGGUCAGAGGUACUCCAGGGGUAGGGGUGAAAUCUAUUAAUCCUUGGGGGACCACCGGUAGCGAAGGCGUCUGACCAGACCGGGUCCGACGGUGAGGGACGAAGGCUGGGGUCGCGAACCGGAUUAGAUACCCGGGUAGUCCCAGCUGUAAACGAUGCGGGCCAGGUGUUGGCAUUACUGCGAGUGAUGUCAGUGCCAAAGGGAAGCCGUUAAGCCCGCCAUCUGGGGAGUACGGUCGCAAGGCUGAAACUUAAAGAAAUUGGCGGGGGAGCACCACAACGGGUGGAGCUGCGGUUCAAUUGGAGUCAACGCCGGA